Molecule: ribosomal RNA, 452 nt
Filed under: Fannyhessea vaginae
Lineage: Bacteria; Bacillati; Actinomycetota; Coriobacteriia; Coriobacteriales; Atopobiaceae
Description: bacterial SSU rRNA
Rfam family: Bacterial small subunit ribosomal RNA
Source: RNAcentral
GAUGAACGCUGGCGGCGCGCCUAACACAUGCAAGUCGAACGGUUAAAGCACCUUCGGAUGUGUAUAAAGUGGCGAACGGCUGAGUAACACGUGGGCAACCUGCCCUUUGCACUGGGAUAGCCUCGGGAAACCGAGGUUAAUACCGGAUACUCCAUAUUUGUCGCAUGGCGAAUAUGGGAAAGCUCCGGCGGCAAAGGAUGGGCCCGCGGCCUGUUAGCUAGUUGGUGGGGUAGUGGCCUACCAAGGCAAUGAUGGGUAGCCGGGUUGAGAGACCGACCGGCCAGAUUGGGACUGAGACACGGCCCAGACUCCUACGGGAGGCAGCAGUGGGGAAUCUUGCACAAUGGGCGAAAGCCUGAUGCAGCGACGCCGCGUGCGGGAUGAAGGCCUUCGGGUUGUAAACCGCUUUCAGCAGGGACGAGGCCGCAAGGUGACGGUACCUGCAGAAGAAG